Molecule: long non-coding RNA, 265 nt
Filed under: Vombatus ursinus (common wombat)
Lineage: Eukaryota; Metazoa; Chordata; Mammalia; Diprotodontia; Vombatidae
Description: lncRNA (ENSVURG00010004071.1)
Source: RNAcentral
CUUCUUUUCCUCCUCCUCAAUGCUUAACUUCAAGCCUAUUCCAGUUAGCUGGGCUGAAUGUGACCUCCUAAAGCUGGCAGGCAAGAUUUUUAGCUGCUGAUACCUACCCAUUCCAGCACCCUUUAAACCGAUUCCUGUCUUCCUUUAAUGUUCUAUGCAUAAGGAGUCCUGGGCUUCCAUGAAGAGAGUGUAUGCCUCACUUUCAAACUACAUAUGCCAGCUGACCAAGGUAGAAGAGUCACUCUAUGAUUUAGAAAAAUGCUGA